Molecule: long non-coding RNA, 834 nt
Filed under: Homo sapiens (human)
Lineage: Eukaryota; Metazoa; Chordata; Mammalia; Primates; Hominidae
Description: non-protein coding lnc-URB2-1:8
Source: RNAcentral
AGAUCUAGAACCGCUGCAGUGCCGAGCUUCCAGGGACGUGAAGCCGGAAAGCCAGGCGCCCUUCUUGACUGCGCCUAGGUGGAACUGGCCCUCCAGCAGCUUGAACGUAGCCUCUUUUCACACUGGUAGUUCCUGAACCUCUUGUGAAAUGAAAGAUGUUCCUCAUUCCAAGCUGAGGACGGAGAAAAGCCGUAAAGCUGACACUGGUAUCGCACUGUGAUAUUUGUUGUUUUCUAGGUUUGCCAUUUUCCCAUUCAACUUUGCGCAGUCUCAUCCACGCUGAUGACGCCACAAAUCCGUGUCUCUAACCUGGAUCCAGCUCAAAACCCCCAGACCCCUAUCAUUCAGCUCCCUAGGGGACAAUUUCAGCUGGAAGUCCUGCGAACUCCUCACAAUCCACUUAUGAAAAGCGCAUUCAUGUUUUCCUUUAGGACCCCUCUCCUACCACCAUCUCUGUUCCAGCUUGGUAAAACUGGCCAGUUGUCCAAGGCAAAGAGAAGAGCUCUAUCUGCAGUCAUCCCUCACACCUACCUCCACCCUAAGAUCAUGGUCUUAAGACCCUCAUUUGAGAGAUGCCUUCCCUGUACCUGGAGGAAAGAAACAUCUUUAUCUCUGAAGACACAGGGCCACAGAGAAGAGUCUGAACAAACAGGCUUUACCAAUUUCCCCCAGUUGUUACCGUUAGAUCAGACCUUUGUCCAGUCAUAUCCUUCCACAAGUUGUCCACUCAUCAACCCUAAGCAUAAAAAUGCACAAGUUUCCUUGUUUGUUUGGGUCUUCAUUUCCAAGGGCUCCUAUGUCAUGUUAAACUUUUAAAUAAAUUUGCAUGCUUUU